AUGCCCCACGACCUCGCCUCCUAUUUCACGGUCGUCGCUAGCCCCCACUGCGUCUCCUCGGCUCUCCUCCCGCCCUGCCGCCAAGCUCGUGUUCAUCGAGUUCGAUGUUCAGGUCUACACACAUGCAGCCGUUGCAUUCACUCUCGAUUCAGCAGGAGGAGAUUAGUAUUCCCGGACGGACGGGCCUCUGUAGCCAGGUGGGUGAGAACGGCGAGCUGGUGCACUGCUUACACGUCGGCGCUGGCGCUUGACUGGUGGGAGUCGCGGCUCGACGUCAUCUUCGUCCACCCGCCUUGCUCGUGCGACGCGGCGCCACCCGACGGCAUGGCAGAAAUGUGA
This 339-nucleotide ribosomal RNA is filed under the name Triticum aestivum (bread wheat). RNAcentral describes it as "partial small subunit ribosomal RNA". The record is from RNAcentral. Lineage: Eukaryota; Viridiplantae; Streptophyta; Magnoliopsida; Poales; Poaceae.